CAUGGUUUCUGGAUGCUGAAGAAAUUUCAAGAUUUCGCCAAAUUUUCCUCAUCGAGAUUUACUUCAUCCACUUAUAAUCCAUCAUCCUUGAAUUAAUCCCUAGACUAGAUUCUGCCGUCAACAGGAGCACAACAACAAGAAGCAAAGAACUCUUAUCGUCACUACUCCUCAAGGAAACAAAACUCCUUCUCAGAUUAUACUAAUAGACCUCCUUCCUCUGAUCCCUCGAUUUCAAAUACCCCAUUUAGAAACGACUCCGGGAAUACUAAUUCUGUAAGUAUUAUGAUCUAAAGAUUGGUACUGAAGGUCUGAAGUUGAAGCUGUGAAGGGAUCUAUCUAUUGAGACUAACUCUUUCUUCAAAAGCGAUUCUUUGGGAAACCUCAAAUGGGCUUAAGUUCGUGAAAGAUAAAUCUGCCAAAUUAAAGCAAGCAAGUGAAACAGAUCAUCGCGUUGAACUCAGUAUAGCAAUGAG
Molecule: long non-coding RNA, 473 nt
Organism: Ipomoea nil (Japanese morning glory)
Lineage: Eukaryota; Viridiplantae; Streptophyta; Magnoliopsida; Solanales; Convolvulaceae
Exons: 5
Source: RefSeq, a predicted model, not a curated record